This 77-nucleotide transfer RNA is filed under the name Cervus elaphus hippelaphus. Its description in RNAcentral is "tRNA-Ser". Lineage: Eukaryota; Metazoa; Chordata; Mammalia; Artiodactyla; Cervidae. The record is from RNAcentral.
GAGGUGGCCGAGUGGUUAAAGUGACAGACUGCUAAUCCAUUGUGUUCUGCAUGCUGUAGGUUUGAAUCCCAUUCUUG